Molecule: ribosomal RNA, 449 nt
Filed under: uncultured bacterium
Lineage: Bacteria
Description: partial 16S ribosomal RNA
Rfam family: Bacterial small subunit ribosomal RNA
Source: RNAcentral
AGCGAACGCUGGCGGCAGGCCUAACACAUGCAAGUCGAACGAACUCUUCGGAGUUAGUGGCGGACGGGUGAGUAACACGUGGGAGCGUGCCUUUAGGUUCGGAAUAACUCAGGGAAACUUGUGCUAAUACCGAAUGUGCCCUUCGGGGGAAAGAUUUAUCGCCUUUAGAGCGGCCCGCGUCUGAUUAGCUAGUUGGUGAGGUAAAGGCUCACCAAGGCGACGAUCAGUAGCUGGUCUGAGAGGAUGAUCAGCCACAUUGGGACUGAGACACGGCCCAAACUCCUACGGGAGGCAGCAGUGGGGAAUCUUGCGCAAUGGGCGAAAGCCUGACGCAGCCAUGCCGCGUGAAUGAUGAAGGUCUUAGGAUUGUAAAAUUCAUCCACCGGGGACGAUAAUGACGGUACCCGGAGAAGAAGCCCCGGCUAACUUCGUGCCAGCCGCCGCCGUAA